AGCUGUUGCUUAGAUGUGUUUCCCCGUAGUGACUAACAUCAUCCAACCCUGCUGCUGUUCCUAAUUAACCGGUCUCAGAAUGUGAAAACUAUGAUUUCUCCUUCCCCAUCUGCCUUAGCAGAACCUUUGCCUUACCCUGAAGGGGAAGGCAAUAUCAGACUCCAGAUGACUUUGUAGUACCCAGCUUCAGAGGUUGUCAGGACCAAAGCAGCUGUGGAAUGUGUCGUAGUUCCUGAUUAGGUACUUCUGAUGUUGGAAGCACGUUCAGACUCCUAAUCUGAAGAAACUCAGGGAAUUUUGCGUUGCUGUGUCAGCGAGAUCCUGCGCUUCAUCACCUGUCCAAGAAGAUAACAGCAAAGCUGAGCAAGGUCAGAGAACUUGAGCCAUCCAAGGAAGGUCCUUGCAGUUCUGCAGAGACAGAGAUGAAGCUGGACCAACAAGCAAGGCAGUCGCUGUAGGUUCGUGCUGAAGAAGACCCAGGAAGGUGCAAGUCAUUGCAUGGGACAUUCACGUCUCACAUCACCACUGGCUGUGUCUGUAUUGGCCUAGUAAAAGAGAAUAAAUUCUAGAACUUUGUAGACA
RNAcentral lists this long non-coding RNA (582 nucleotides) under Coturnix japonica (Japanese quail). RNAcentral describes it as "lncRNA (ENSCJPG00005018672.1)". The record is from RNAcentral. Lineage: Eukaryota; Metazoa; Chordata; Aves; Galliformes; Phasianidae.